RNAcentral lists this long non-coding RNA (293 nucleotides) under Cavia porcellus (domestic guinea pig). RNAcentral's name for it is "lncRNA (ENSCPOG00000038044.1)". The record is from RNAcentral. Lineage: Eukaryota; Metazoa; Chordata; Mammalia; Rodentia; Caviidae.
CACACAACAGCUGUGUGGCUUGAGCAGUGACGGCUCUUUUGUGUAAAGCAGAAAUCUGUCCAGGCAUCUGCACAGUGAAAUAUCUCCUGUGCUCUCUACUUGUAGCCUGGCUGGAACCUUGCGCGAUGGACCCUGUGAUAACAGCCACUUGUGCAGAGAGGAGCGAACUGCUAACGCAAACAAAUUCGGAGCCAGACAGACCCUGCCUCGAGCACCCCAGAAGAUCAGUGAGCUUUAUCUCAGCCAUGGGGAGUGUGGUGAUGGUUCCUCUUUCGCCUUCUCAUCACCCCUGC